UGGGGAAUAUUGGACAAUGGGCGAAAGCCUGAUCCAGCCAUGCCGCGUGUGUGAAGAAGGUCUUCGGAUUGUAAAGCACUUUAAGUUGGGAGGAAGGGCAUUAACCUAAUACGUUAGUGUUUUGACGUUACCGACAGAAUAAGCACCGGCUAACUCUGUGCCAGCAGCCGCGGUAAUACAGAGGGUGCAAGCGUUAAUCGGAAUUACUGGGCGUAAAGCGCGCGUAGGUGGUUUGUUAAGUUGGAUGUGAAAUCCCCGGGCUCAACCUGGGAACUGCAUUCAAAACUGACUGACUAGAGUAUGGUAGAGGGUGGUGGAAUUUCCUGUGUAGCGGUGGAAUGCGUAGAUAUAGGAAGGAACACCAGUGGCGAAGGCGACCACCUGGACUAAUACUGACACUGAGGUGCGAAAGCGUGGGGAGCAAACA
Molecule: ribosomal RNA, 427 nt
Filed under: uncultured bacterium
Lineage: Bacteria
Description: partial 16S ribosomal RNA
Rfam family: Bacterial small subunit ribosomal RNA
Source: RNAcentral